Molecule: non-coding RNA, 416 nt
Organism: Doryrhamphus excisus (bluestripe pipefish)
Lineage: Eukaryota; Metazoa; Chordata; Actinopteri; Syngnathiformes; Syngnathidae
Source: RefSeq, a predicted model, not a curated record
AUCUGAAGAUAGAUGGAGUGAUUCGCCGGCGUGAACAGACGCACUGAAGCCUUCGUGAUGCCGGGUUCGAGUCAAGACAGAGUAGUGCUUCUUGGGGACAUUUAAGGAGAAACACUAAUGCUAAUGCUCUGAUGCGGGCCAAGCUGCGGACUACAAACAGCCCCUGUACCACACUUUGGACACGACUGCCCUUGAAACCAACAGACAGCCAAGAGGUUGACAAGGACUGGACUUCAAAGAGGGCGCUUCUUCCCCUUGUGGACCUCCACUCGAUGACGCUGCAGGCAAUCAUGUGAUCUCUCUGCCUGCUUCAUUCCAGAUGUGUCAAGUCAAAGUAAGACAAAAACAGGACAUAAUGUCACAGUCACUUCAAAGUAAAAACACAUUUCUUUUAGGUAAUGAAAUACAUGUAUUGU